CAUUCAGUAGCCCAGCUACUUGUUUACACCCUUGUUUUUUGCGUACUUAUCGUUUCCUCGGCGGGCUUGCCUGCCGGUUGGACAACUUUAUAACCUUUUUAAAUCUUCAAUCAGCGUCUGAAUAAUAUACAAUAAUUA
This 138-nucleotide unclassified non-coding RNA is filed under the name soil metagenome. RNAcentral's name for it is "partial internal transcribed spacer 1". The record is from RNAcentral.